Molecule: ribosomal RNA, 2106 nt
Filed under: Stutzerimonas stutzeri
Lineage: Bacteria; Pseudomonadati; Pseudomonadota; Gammaproteobacteria; Pseudomonadales; Pseudomonadaceae
Description: Pseudomonas stutzeri partial 16S ribosomal RNA
Rfam family: Bacterial small subunit ribosomal RNA (bases 798-2106)
Source: RNAcentral
GGGGCCCCCCGCUCUCUCCAACCCCGAUGUCAAGAACCCCCCCUCGCCGUCUUUCUCGGGCAAAACAAACACAAGGUUUUAUUUUGGAGAUAUGCCCAACGGGGGGCAUUUUUCCACAAUGGGAUAACCGUAAAGGGUCCUUACCUUAUAAAAAAUAUAAUAUCUGGUGGGCCGGUUGCCACUGGGAGAUUUGCCCUUAAAGCCCCGGUCCACACCUUAGGAGCUAAACCGGUUUUUUCAACUUAUCUUGGCCCGGUGCAAAAACCGCCAAAAAAAGAAAUAAAGGGGAUCACGGCUUUGACCUUAAGUGGGUAACUAGGGGACACAAAGGGCCAAUCUUAUCCUAGUCGCAAUGGUGGCCAUUGACCGAUGCCUUCAUCUUAAGGGGGGGCUGUCGGCACUAAAGCAUUCAGAGUAGGAAAAAAAAUCCCGGGGAGUUUACCCCUCGCCCCAUUUAACCCCAUGCCUUUUGAAUUCACAGAACUUUACGAACUGGGGGGUUUUCAAGAAGGGAAACAUCGGACAAGUUACUCGUGUCCGGACUGUCCCUAAUCUCACCCCACCCAAGGAAGGCGUGGCGGGUGGGAAAGUGUACUUUUUAUUGGCGCUUUAUUAAAGUUUGCACUGGUAAUGUUACCUCUUGUGCUGGAAACGAGCCGUACCCCCCGCAACUGUCGCCUCUCGAGAAUUCUUUUUAAAACGGCGGUGUCCUAAUUAUAUAUAAUUUGUCAAAAUAGAAAUCUAACACCUCUAAAAAUCUCGGGAUUCUAAAUGAUGAUUUCAAAAACAAUCGUAACAACGAUGAGGGGGUAAGUGUUUGUUUGGUCUGGGGCGUCGGCUACACAUGCAAGUCGAGCGGAUGAGUGGAGCUCUGCAUCCAUGAUUCAGCGGCGGACGGGUGAGUAAUGCCUAGGAAUCUGCCUGGUAGUGGGGGACAACGUUUCGAAAGGAACGCUAAUACCGCAUACGUCCUACGGGAGAAAGUGGGGGAUCUUCGGACCUCACGCUAUCAGAUGAGCCUAGGUCGGAUUAGCUAGUUGGUGAGGUAAAGGCUCACCAAGGCGACGAUCCGUAACUGGUCUGAGAGGAUGAUCAGUCACACUGGAACUGAGACACGGUCCAGACUCCUACGGGAGGCAGCAGUGGGGAAUAUUGGACAAUGGGCGAAAGCCUGAUCCAGCCAUGCCGCGUGUGUGAAGAAGGUCUUCGGAUUGUAAAGCACUUUAAGUUGGGAGGAAGGGCAGUAAGUUAAUACCUUGCUGUUUUGACGUUACCAACAGAAUAAGCACCGGCUAACUUCGUGCCAGCAGCCGCGGUAAUACGAAGGGUGCAAGCGUUAAUCGGAAUUACUGGGCGUAAAGCGCGCGUAGGUGGUUCGUUAAGUUGGAUGUGAAAGCCCCGGGCUCAACCUGGGAACUGCAUCCAAAACUGGCGAGCUAGAGUAUGGCAGAGGGUGGUGGAAUUUCCUGUGUAGCGGUGAAAUGCGUAUAUAUAGGAAGGAACACCAGUGGCGAAGGCGACCACCUGGGCUAAUACUGACACUGACGUGCGAAAGCGUGGGGAGCAAACAGGAUUAGAUACCCUGGUAGUCCACGCCGUAAACGAUGUCGACUAGACAUUGGGAUCCUUGAGAUCUUAGUGGCGCAGCUCACGCAUUAAGUCGACCUCCUGUUGAGUACGGCCGCACGGUUAAAACUCAAAUGAAUUGUUUUUUUGCCGCACAGCGAUGACCUGUGGUUUUAUUUCUGACCACACUCACCACCUUACAGGGCUUGACAUGCAAAGAACUUUCCAGACAUGGAUUGGUGGCGUCAGGACUCUGACCAGUUGCUGAUGACUGUCGUCAGCUCUGUCAGAGAUGUGGGUUACUCCGUACUAGGGGAGCUUGUCCUUACUACCAGCACGUCACGUGGCACUGUGAGGAGAAUGUCCGUUACCAUCGACGUACGUCGCAUGACGUCAGUCAUCAUGUGCUUAGAACUGAGUUCAUACCCUGCUCGAAGGGCGGACAAGGAUUUCAACGAAUACGUGUCUCUCGCGUACAUGCGUAUUCGAUCGAACUGAGUACUGAUGAUUGAGAUGCAAUGCAUGGUACUGCUCUGACUG